AUAUUUUGUUGGGAAAUUUUUCUUCCAAAAAUAUACAAUAUUUAUUCUCUAUUCCUCCCAUCACCAGAUAUGAAGAAAGAAAAAGAAAGAAAGAGAUACCAACCAGAGAUAUGCAACAAUGUAACUAAAAAAGAAACAAAUUUACUAUUAAUUCCCCAUUCUCGUUAUAUGAUAUGAUCAUAUUCAACAACAAUAAGCUGCGUGUGGAAAGUUAGAAAAUCUAAGGGACUAUGAUGUGACCUAUACAGAACCUCUUCUAAAGGGGCAAAAAUUCUGAAAAAUUGUUCAUCCAGAAGAGAGUUUCGAUCUAAUUUUAACUUAAUUCCCCACUUACAAUUGCUUUAGUAUAUGCUCCUGGCAAUAACCGAUCAUUAUUUGUCUCAUGAGAAGCAUCAUAAGUUCUUUUAAUGCAUUCACAGGCAGGUAACCAGGAAAAUGCUGCUCUUUUUCUCAACCAAACCACCUUAUUGGACAGAUCCAUGAAAAUUCCAUGGAAAAAUCUCCAUUACCCUGUCAAAAGUUUUCUGAUGCAAGAGUACCAAAAAUUUACACCUUCAGUCUCUUGUGUUACUGCUUUCUUCAAGCCAAAAGAAAAUUCUCUUGAUUUGUUAUUCUUCCCUGAGAAGGCUUGUAUCAAAACUUACAAGUUCUUCAAAACAAAGCUGUAUGUUUCAUCAUAUGAACUGUGUCAGGGCAAAGCCGCAAUGCAUCACUACAAAAACCUCACCCCAUACAGCAAUCAAAUGUCAAGCCAUG
Molecule: unclassified non-coding RNA, 756 nt
Filed under: Hevea brasiliensis (rubber tree)
Lineage: Eukaryota; Viridiplantae; Streptophyta; Magnoliopsida; Malpighiales; Euphorbiaceae
Source: RNAcentral